GACGAACGCUGGCGGCGUGCUUAACACAUGCAAGUCGAACGGAAAGGCCCUGCUUUUUUUGGGUGCUCGAGUGGCGAACGGAUGAGUAACGUGUGAGUAACCUGCCCUUGACUUUGGGAUAACUUCAGGAAACGGGGGCUAAUACCGUAUAGGAUCUCCUGCUGCAUGGUGGGGGUUGGAAAGGUUCGGCGGUUGGGGAUGGACGCGCGGCUUAUCAGCUUGUUGGUGGGGUAGUGGCUUACGAAGGCUUUGACGGGUAGCCGGCCUGAGAGGGUGACAGGCAACAUUGGGACUGAGAUACGGCCCAGACUCCUACGGGAGGCAGCAGUGGGGAAUAUUGCACAACGGGCGGAAGCCUGAUGCAGCAACGCCGCGUGCGGGAUGACGGCCUUCGGGUUGUAAACCGCUUUCGCCUGUGACGAAGCGUGAGUGACGGUAAUGGGUAAAGAAGCACCGGCUAACUACGUG
Molecule: ribosomal RNA, 468 nt
Filed under: uncultured bacterium
Lineage: Bacteria
Description: partial 16S ribosomal RNA
Rfam family: Bacterial small subunit ribosomal RNA
Source: RNAcentral